This 468-nucleotide ribosomal RNA is filed under the name uncultured bacterium. RNAcentral describes it as "partial 16S ribosomal RNA". It matches the Rfam family "Bacterial small subunit ribosomal RNA", at positions 28 to 507 of the family's 1533-position model. The record is from RNAcentral.
GACGAACGCUGGCGGCGUGCUUAACACAUGCAAGUUGAACGGAAAGGCCCUGCUUUUGUGGGGUGCUCGAGUGGCGAACGGGUGAGUAACACGUGAGUAACCUGCCCUUGACUUUGGGAUAACUUCAGGAAACUGGGGCUAAUACCGGAUAGGAGCUCCUGCUGCAUGGUGGGGGUUGGAAAGUUUCGGCGGUUGGGGAUGGACUCGCGGCUUAUCAGCUUGUUGGUGGGGUAGUGGCUUACCAAGGCUUUGACGGGUAGCCGGCCUGAGAGGGUGACCGGCCACAUUGGGACUGAGGUACGGCCCAGACUCCUACGGGAGGCAGCAGUGGGGAAUAUUGCACAAUGGGCGGAAGCCUGAUGAAGCAACGCCGCGUGCGGGAUGACGGCCUUCGGGUUGUAAACCGCUUUCGCCUGUGACGAAGCGUGAGUGACGGUAAUGGGUAAAGAAGCACCGGCUAACUACGUG